CAUUGUUUGUGGAGGUUUGAAGUUUGAGGCUCAGUGGAGACUGGAUUUUGAUAAGCAAACACAAUAUUUAUAUAUUUUCAAAUGUUCAUGUAGGCUUGCAGCUUUUUGUAUUCUGUUAAGUAGACUGUAAAAGAGACUUGGGAGAAAGAAAUUUUAUUUUGAAGGAAAGAAGAGAGCUCUAUCAAAAGUUUAUCUGCGUUUCUUAAUAGUGAGAUUUAUUAAAUGGGUAUCUUAGUACAAUAUGUGCAGCAGUAUUGCAGGCUGCUCUUCUGCUUCUUUCUCAUUUUCUGGAGCACAUCCUUAUUUUUAUAUGUUCCUGUGGCGUAUGAAUCUUUUCUGUGGGCUGCGAACUUCCAGUGUCUGAGAGCAAGAUUGUGUCUUUCCAUGUCCAGGGACUAUCUUCUUGAGACUUGUAUGUUGCAAAGGGAGCUUUUCAGAGAUGAUUCUAACGAAACAAACAUCUCCAGAGGAAAUGAAAUUUGGGCACAGACUUAAGAGCUUGGCCUGAUACUCUGCAGCAGGCAUUCCAGGAAGGGCUGGAAAUGUUAAAGGUAUGGAAUAAUCACCAUCUUUCUGUGGGUCCUA
This 585-nucleotide long non-coding RNA is filed under the name Rattus norvegicus (Norway rat). RNAcentral describes it as "long non-coding RNA NONRATT033317". The record is from RNAcentral. Lineage: Eukaryota; Metazoa; Chordata; Mammalia; Rodentia; Muridae.